RNAcentral lists this ribosomal RNA (376 nucleotides) under uncultured bacterium. RNAcentral's name for it is "bacterial SSU rRNA". It matches the Rfam family "Bacterial small subunit ribosomal RNA", at positions 523 to 898 of the family's 1533-position model. The record is from RNAcentral.
AAACGUAGGAGGCGAGCGUUAUCCGGAUUUACUGGGCGUAAAGCGUACGCAGGUGGCUUCGUGAGUCGGACAUGAAAGCUCCCGGCUUAACUGGGAGAGGUUGUUCGAUACUGCGGGGCUUGAGGUUGGGAGAGGGACGUGGAAUUCCCGGUGUAGUGGUGGAAUGCGUAGAUAUCGGGAGGAACACCAGUGGCGCAAGCGGCGUCCUGGCCCACACCUGACGCUGAGGUACGAAAGCGUGGGUAGCAAACAGGAUUAGAUACCCUGGUAGUCCACGCUGUAAACGAUGUCAACUGGGUGUCGGUAGUUUUACACUAUCGGUGCCGAAGCCAACGCGUUAAGUGGACCGCCUGGGGACUACGGCCGCAAGGCUAAA